RNAcentral lists this ribosomal RNA (450 nucleotides) under uncultured bacterium. RNAcentral describes it as "partial 16S ribosomal RNA". It matches the Rfam family "Bacterial small subunit ribosomal RNA", at positions 354 to 796 of the family's 1533-position model. The record is from RNAcentral.
GUGGGGAAUUUUGGACAAUGGGCGCAAGCCUGAUCCAGCAAUGCCGCGUGCAGGAAGAAGGCCUUCGGGUUGUAAACUGCUUUUGUACGGAACGAAACGGCUCUGGUUAAUACCCGGGGCUAAUGACGGUACCGUAAGAAUAAGCACCGGCUAACUACGUGCCAGCAGCCGCGGUAAUACGUAGGGUGCAAGCGUUAAUCGGAAUUACUGGGCGUAACGCGUGCGCAGGCGGUUGUGUAAGACAGGCGUGAAAUCCCCGGGCUCAACCUGGGAAUUGCGCUUGUGACUGCACAGCUGGAGUGCGGCAGAGGGGGAUGGAAUUCCGCGUGUAGCAGUGAAAUGCGUAGAUAUGCGGAGGAACACCGAUGGCGAAGGCAAUCCCCUGGGCCUGCACUGACGCUCAUGCACGAAAGCGUGGGGAGCAAACAGGAUUAGAUACCCCGGUAGUCC